UACGUAGGGUGCAAGCGUUGUCCGGAAUUAUUGGGCGUAAAGAGCUCGUAGGCGGUCUGUCGCGUCUGCUGUGAAAACUCAGGGCUUAACCCUGAGCUUGCAGUGGGUACGGGCAGACUAGAGUGCGGUAGGGGAAACUGGAAUUCCUGGUGUAGCGGUGAAAUGCGCAGAUAUCAGGAGGAACACCGGUGGCGAAGGCGGGUCUCUGGGCCACUACUGACGCUGAGGAGCGAAAGCGUGGGGAGCGAACAGG
RNAcentral lists this ribosomal RNA (253 nucleotides) under uncultured bacterium. RNAcentral's name for it is "partial 16S ribosomal RNA". It matches the Rfam family "Bacterial small subunit ribosomal RNA", at positions 524 to 776 of the family's 1533-position model. The record is from RNAcentral.